AAAUGCUGUAUUAUAUUUAACAAAUUUUGUAAAAAUCGAUGAAAUAUGCAAUUGUUUCAAAAAUUAUUCAAGAAAAGGAAUUGCAAAACUUUUACAUCAGUCACAAAACUUUAAUCCAAAGGAAAGUUUUUACUUUAUAUGCAGAUGAUUAAUACAUGUGAUUAACAUUUUGACUCCCUGAGUUGCCAUUGAAAUUGUUCCUUAUCUGGAGUGACAAUUCAAACAAUUUUAAUUGUCCAUUAAUAUUUGAAUAUAAAGAUUUAUUUCACUGCUGACUAUACAGUUGACAGUGAUAACAAACCAUUUACACUUAGUCAAAUAACUUCAUAAAGAGAAGGCUGUAUCAAGACAUUCUUAUUUUGAUAAUUAAGAAUUGAAAAUAUUGAUAAAUCUUUGGUAUGCUAUGAUCAUUUAUUUAUUUAUUUAUUUAUUAAAAAACAAUAUUUUCACAUUGCUUUUAGAUUUAAAAUAAGGUUGAAUUUUGAUAACUGCAGGUAGCAUCCUAAAUGAAAUAAAAUAUUUGUAUCAUUUUUCCAGCAUACUUACUAGCCAACAAUUGGCUUCUAGUUCUCCAGUGUUUGAAAUCAAUAGAGAAAAUGGUGUAUUUUUGACUAGUUGUAAAUCAUUUGUCAACUGUAUAUAAUACUGCUGAUGAUAAAAUGCUUUACAAUUUUGUGCUCAAAUGUUGUUGUGCCAAAUUCUGGGCAUUUACUUCUGGAUAUUUGUGCCUUUAUACAAUUACAAAUUCAUUUUUAGUGCUGUUUUCAAUUAUUUAGUUUUAUUUUUGUUGUCAAUUAAUGGUUUUCCUUAUUAAACUUUAUGCUUUGUUUGCCAAUCCAAUUUAUUUUUCAUCUGAAUUGAUUUUUUUUUCAACAGCUAGAGAAUUUGUUUAUUCUGAUUAUUUUAAGUUUUUAAGUGAAAUUUUUCAAAUGUGUGUUUUGAAGCAAAAAUUUUCAGGAAAAGAAUUCCGUCCAACAUUUACAUUUUUUUGGUGUGAUGUUUCUGUUAUAUAGUUGCAGAUGUUAUAUUUUUAUGCAUUCAAUAUAAGAUACAUUCCACAGAAUAGAAAAAAAUGUCCAAGAAAUAAACAUGGGAAAUUAUUUAAAACGUUAAAAUUUAUUUUGUUAAUAUGAAUGGUUGCAAAUGUAUAUGCGUGAGGUAUGUUGUAUAAAUGAUUUUGUUUGAAAUCUUGCCUGUUUAAAGACCAGUAUUUACAAGAUAUUGGUCGUGGGAUAUUUUGUUAAUGAUGUUUUGUGAAUAGUGUACCAUUUAAUCAUUUCAAGUCAUUUGAAUGUUACUUUUUAACUUACUGUGGAUUCAUCAUUAUUUCUUCGGCUUCUAAUUUUGUGGAUGUAUUUAAAUUUUCAACUAAGUACAAUAUUACUUUGGCUUAAAUGCAAAUUUUGAAUAUUUUGUGCAAUCAAAUAUCCACAAAAAUUGGUACCUACCAAUAUAAUGAAAUCACAGUAUCUGUUUUCUGCUACUGUAGGAGUUGAGAUGAAAUGGUAGAUUUUUAAGCAAAAUAAAAGUGCAGGUGGAAUGCUUUUGUAUAUUGUAUAUAUAUAUAUUCAGUUUUAUAGACUCACACAAUUAACUAGAAAUAACUUGAAAUAUAUAGCUAACUAUGAAGUUUCUGAUUUUGAAGUGUGACAGAAACAGUUAUUAACAGUUUUUUGCCAAUCUCUGAAUGAGGAAGAAAAACCAAGAAAAACAAAAACAGAAUAUUAAGGGAUUUAAUAUUUUUAUAAACUUUGUUGAAUGUGCACAAGUCAUCUCCCCUAAAGAAAUUUUACUUCCUGUUUUGUUUUAUUAUUAUUUUCUUUAAAUUACACAUUCAAUGUGAUGUUUCGAAUGUGUCAUGAUAAAAAAAUUCAACAACAUGCCAUUCACUUUAAAGAGAUAUUUGUUGUAUACAUGUUUAAAAAAUCAAACAACUUGGACAACAUUCCUAAACUCGCUAUAUGAAAAUUUCAAAAACGUGUGUCAAAAUGAAUAUGAAUCUAAUUACAAAGAAGACUUUAGUCAUUUUAUCAAUAAUGUACAAUCACUAUGGUGCAUGUUAGCCAAGACAUCAUUUUAUCAGAUCGAUGUACCAUUUCACCAGGGUGCACGAUAGCCAAGACUUCAUUUUAUCAGAACGAUGUACCAUUUCACCAAGGUGCAUGUUAGCCAAGACAUCAUUUUUUCAGUACGAUGUACCAUUUCACCAGGGUGCACAUUAGCCAAGACAUCAUUUUUCAGAACGAUGUACCAUUUCACCAAGGUGCAUGUUAGCCAAGACAUCAUUUUAUCAGAACGAUGUACCAUUUCACCAGGGUGUUCAGAUCAUUAUCAGAUUAAUUUAGGUGCCAAUAUAGUUUUCAUGUGAUAGUAUGUGUUUCCCAUGUGCAUAAAAUGCCUCUGUAAAUAUAAUAAAUUAUUGUUAUCAUAUCCUGUUGUAGAUAACUAAACAUUAAUGUUUUAUUAUUUAUAGAAGUUUUUGUUUUUUAUUGAAAGAUCUGUGAAGCCAGUGAUCAGUCAAAGUCCAGAUACAAAAAUUAAUAUAUAUAUAUGAUUUUAUUGUUUUUAAUGUCUAUUUUUACAUGAAAAUUGUAAGUGGAAGUGAAUGACCUAGCUGUAUGUGAUUAUAUUUCUGUUUAAUUCUGACCAGACUUUGUCAUUGUGUUAUCAUUAUGGGAAUAUGUGACCAUACAUAGAGGUAAUCUGUGUCAAAUUUUAUGCUAUUCUGCAACUUCUUUACAAAAUUUAACUAAACUUACAAAAUAAAUGUAAAUUAUAAUGAUUCGUACAUCUGUAUUUGUUGUUAUUGCAGAAUUUAUUACUUUUUUCACUUGGAAGUUAUGCCUUUUACCUUCAGAUGUCAAAAGCCUUAUUUUGGCUACUGUAAGUGUCAGCAACAGUUUACUAUCAUUCACUAUGAUUCAUCAGAAGAUGAUAUCUUUAUAUAAAACUUUGUAAACUGGAGAAAUUUUCAGUCUUUAUAAAAACUGUGUAUUUUCAUAUUUUCCAAUUAUUUUUUCCAUAUGAAUAUGAGAUUAUUUUUUUCUGUAUUCUGUAUGAAGAAAAUGAAAAUAUAGAUUCAAGACCAUGAACAAAAAAAAUCAAUUAGAUCAUGAAAUUAGACUGCACAAUAUGUGUCAGUGUAGAUAUUUAUUUGCACAUUUUUUGGUUAUGGUGUAUAGUUUGUCUUGUUGCCAAGCAUACCUCAUUUCCUUAUUUUAUAUCAUAAAAAAAUACAUUUUCCCCAAAUGAACAGACCACAACUUGAAAUAUUUAUUUGGUCAUUUAUUAUCUUUUUAACUUUCUGGCAUUGUUAUCCUUACAAAUUAACCUUAAAACUAUAUGCAACAACCAAAAGAUUAAAAUAUGCAAAACCAUUGAAUAGCUCUAACACAAAAUAUGCAAAUAUAUAUAUUAUAUAGUAGAAUUAUAAAAAAAUGAUUAAUGUUUAAAAAGAUUGAGUUAAAAUUGACAUGUUAGACUGCAUCUUAAUUUUAAAUCUGUAUUACAAAAUUGAAGAUUACAAUAGAAUCGUGUUCUGAUGAACCACCUUUAAUAUUAAACAGGUGUGAUUUGUCCAUGGCUAGCGAUGCCCAUUCUUUAAUUUAUCAUAAAUUUAUAAGUCUCUGAUUCAUUCUAUUUGAAUUUUGCACUGAAAUCUUACCAAUAUUAAAGUAGUUGCUUAUAAUUUGAAUAACAGAUACCAACCCUUUUUUUGGUAGCAAGUUGUAAUAUGGAUUAAAUUUCAUGGUAUGGAGCCUUUUAAUUUAAAAACAUUCAAACUUCAUAACAUAUUUCAUUUUAGUCUUAGAAUUUUCAUUGGAAAAGAUUUUUGCACUUUUUCGAUAUAUAAUAUUGAGACAUUUAGAUAAUUCUAUGUAUAGUCUGCUUAAGAGGAGUUACUGACCAAGAUCAUCUUUAUAUUAGUAACCAAUUUUUGCUUGUUAUAAAAUGUCAUACUUAAAACUAAUUUAAUUGAUCCACCUUGUAAUAGAUCAAGUUUCAUUUCACUCAGAAUAUUCAUAACAGAAUUAAAUCCUUGAAA
This 4045-nucleotide long non-coding RNA is filed under the name Mytilus galloprovincialis (Mediterranean mussel). The record is from RNAcentral. Lineage: Eukaryota; Metazoa; Mollusca; Bivalvia; Mytilida; Mytilidae.